AAGAACAAAAUCUAAAUUAAAAACUGUAUUUUAUAUUUACUUGUUUUGAGGUGCUAGGAUUCAGUCACAGCUUCCCUCACAGUAUGAGCAAGGCCCUGUCACUGAGCUCCGCCCCUUUUCUAAAAUCUAAAGCAUUUGCUCUUGGGUCAUUCCUAAAAGUUUUGCUGACCCUUGAACUGCACAGUGGAGAGAAUUGCUGGGCACAAUGGAAAGCAGGAAAAGCCCAGCCAGGGUGAUCUGUGGGAGCCCCACUGUCCCCUCCCUCAGGAACUGAGAUGACACCAAACAAGCCUUCUUGAGAGCGAUUGGAGUAGACACACUGUAUGUGCUGUUCAGAGGCCCAGAGGGGGGACAACUCACAAGCUGGCAGGUCCCUGCCUUUCUCACUGGAGCCUGGAAAUAUGGAGGCAAGAACUUGGAAGAAUGGGACGGUGUUUCCUGUUAAGUCCCCCUGCACAUUACUCAUUGUGAGAAAAUCUAGAAGCUUCCUCAUCUUCUAGAACCCUCCUCCGAAAGAACUCCCUUCCUGCUGCACAGGGGUAGGAAAAGAGCUCGCCUUGCCUCGAUCUACAGCAUGCGUGGAACAAGAAAAGAAUCUACCAUUGCAAUCACAGGCCUGCUUCAUCGUGAUGUCAAACACUUGGUCAUCUCUGUCUACAAGAGAACGAGGCUGGGUGACAUCACAGAGGCCCCGCCCAGCCCCUUUUACAAGAAGCCUCCAGGUGAGCCUGUAGGCCAACGCUCUUUUGUUCUGGGCACCAGAGGCCCACGUCAAACCCAUGCUCUGCCUGUUCCCUCUGAGAGGGAAAAGGAGAAGGUCACAUGUCAUCUGAGCCUCACGCCUCAAAAUCCUACCCAAUCCUGAAUGCUCCUUCGCUGCCAAGCAGCUCUGGACUUGGAGAACCCUGGGAAGCUGCAGGGCUUUGGGCCAGGCAUGGGGGAAAUCCUUUCAUUCUUUACUUCUUCUCUUCUUCUGGACAUGACCCAUUAAAACAAAACCCCAGCGCAGUGGGUAUGUGUUUACCGAUGCUAUUUUUAAAGCCCUCUAGGGAAGUGGUUUGCUAGCACUCUAGGGCGGGCUGUGAGCAGAAGUGAUUUCACGUGUCCUGGGCUGGGAACAAAGGGGCGGCUUGGGCCUGUUCUCACCGCGCCCACCUGCGGCACUGAACAAGCACCUCAGACUGUAAUUACCUCUGCCAGUAGAGCUUGUUUCAGAAACAUGUGGCUUCCCCCACAGUGGGAUAACUGCCAGGCCCAAGUUUCUGGGGACUGACCCUGAACAGCUCGGGCUGCUUCUCCAGCACUCGAUGAGUUAUGUGAGUCACGGUCCAAUUAAAAACUGGGCAAGGAAAAGAAUGAAAGGAAGAGACAAGAAAGCCAUGUAAGGAUGCCAGGCGGGCAAGCAGUUAAACAUCCUGACUCUAAAAAGAUGCCAACACAAAAUCUCAAUUUAUAAAAGUUGAAUGGCCUAGAAGGGAGGCAGUUCUACCCAUUGUAAUACAUGAAUGGUUUCAUUUCACAUAAAAAAAAAAAAAGAAAGAAAGAAAGAAGGAAAAAGAAAAAAAAAUUCAUCAAAAGUUUCUUUCCGUUUGGUUUCUCCUCCAGUGAUUUUGAAAUAGGACUAAGUUGUCAAAAACCUGAUUUACAUACAACGUUUUCGGCUCUUGUCUGGCGUAGAACAGGCUAUAACUGGAUUCUGAAACUAGCAGCUUAAGCACAGAAAACACCAAAUGCUUUUGUAGCUGAAGAUAAUAAUGAGUGCUCAUUUGGCAUGAAAUAUAAACAACUCAUUAAAGGACUUCCAAUAUCUUUUUAAAAAAUAAAGAAAACAAUACAGUCCAGGAGACAACAUGGUAACUCUGAGUUUCUGGUCACCAGGCAACCUCUACAGAGCACAAGCCGGUGGGAAUGGAGUCCCUGGCUCCUCCUUCUUUGGUCACAGAGCAAGUUGAAGAGUGGGGCCUGGGGGUCACCAUGGCUUCCCAUCUGGUUGAUCUUAGAUAUGAAGUCACAUUAUUGAGAAAUUAUUGACAUCUUUGGGACUGGAGAAAAGGCUUAGCAGCUAAGAGCACUUUCUGCUCUUGCAGAGGACCUGG
Mus musculus (house mouse) is the source of this 2096-nucleotide long non-coding RNA. RefSeq annotates it as predicted gene 13383. The transcript is spliced from 3 exons. The record is from RefSeq and is a predicted model, not a curated record. NCBI's taxonomy places the organism in Eukaryota, Metazoa, Chordata, Mammalia, Rodentia, Muridae.